CAGCCGCCGCGGUAAUACGUAGGUGGCAAGCGUUGUCCGGAAUUAUUGGGCGUAAAGGGCUCGCAGGCGGUUUCUUAAGUCUGAUGUGAAAGCCCCCGGCUCAACCGGGGAGGGUCAUUGGAAACUGGGAAACUUGAGUGCAGAAGAGGAGAGUGGAAUUCCACGUGUAGCGGUGAAAUGCGUAGAGAUGUGGAGGAACACCAGUGGCGAAGGCGGCUCUCUGGUCUGUAACUGACGCUGAGGAGCGAAAGCGUGGGGAGCGAACAGGAUUAGAUACCCGCGUAGUCCCUGUCUCUUAUAC
RNAcentral lists this ribosomal RNA (301 nucleotides) under uncultured bacterium. RNAcentral describes it as "partial 16S ribosomal RNA". It matches the Rfam family "Bacterial small subunit ribosomal RNA", at positions 509 to 807 of the family's 1533-position model. The record is from RNAcentral.